UACGUAGGGGCCUAGCGUUGUCCGGAUUUAUUGGGCGUAAAGAGCUCGUAGGCGGUUUGGUGAGUCGGGUGUGAAAUCUCCACGCUCAACGUGGAGGGGCCACCCGAUACUGCCAUGACUAGAGUCCGGUAGGGGAGUGUGGAAUUCCCGGUGUAGCGGUGAAAUGCGUAGAUAUCGAGAGGAACACCUGCGGCGAAGGCGGGUUGCUGGGCUGACACUGACGCUGAACUGCGAAAGCUAGGGGAGCGAACGGG
Molecule: ribosomal RNA, 254 nt
Filed under: uncultured bacterium
Lineage: Bacteria
Description: partial 16S ribosomal RNA
Rfam family: Bacterial small subunit ribosomal RNA
Source: RNAcentral